GUGGGGAAUUGUUCGCAAUGGGCGAAAGCCUGACGACGCAACGCCGCGUGGGGGAUGAAGGUCUUCGGAUUGUAAACCCCUGUCGUGCGGGACGAACGACAUCCGGCCCAACACGCCGGGUGAGUGACGGUACCGCGUGAGGAAGCCCCGGCUAACUCUGUGCCAGCAGCCGCGGUAAUACAGAGGGGGCAAGCGUUGUUCGGAAUUACUGGGCGUAAAGGGCGCGUAGGCGGCCCACUAAGUCAGACGUGAAAUCCCUCGGCUCAACCGGGGAACUGCGUCUGAUACUGGAGGGCUCGAAUCCGAGAGAGGGAUGUGGAAUUCCAGGUGUAGCGGUGAAAUGCGUAGAUAUCUGGAGGAACACCGGUGGCGAAGGCGGCAUCCUGGAUCGGUAUUGACGCUGAGGCGCGAAAGCCAGGGGAGCAAACGGGAUUAGAAACCCCAGUAGUCC
RNAcentral lists this ribosomal RNA (451 nucleotides) under uncultured bacterium. RNAcentral describes it as "bacterial SSU rRNA". It matches the Rfam family "Bacterial small subunit ribosomal RNA", at positions 354 to 796 of the family's 1533-position model. The record is from RNAcentral.